GUCAGCAGGCGCUUAUUUCAGUCAAAUGGGUCAGUCCAUUCACAGACAAGACUUAAGAAAAUAUUACCUUUCUACUUAAAGAUUCCAGGAAUUGCACUUUCUGGGCCCAAAGCCUCCCUGCCUGCCCUCACACCUUUUCUACAGCUGCUGGGUCAGACUGAAGCCUGGGGCCGGCCUACACCUCUGCCUUCGAGUCUUAUCUUCAGUUGCCUGGGCUGCCUUCGGCCGGAGGCCCGCCUACCUGCCCAUGCGCCGUUCUUCAGCAGCCCGGCUGCCCGGCUGCCCGCCAUCAGCAGGCCCACAGCAAGAGUGACGGCCAUAUCGGAGUGGCGAGCAGCAGAGAGAGAGCCUCUCCGAGGCUAAUGGCUGAGAAUUGAAGCCCACCGGGAGAGCGAAGAUAGUCACUGCAAUAAAAGACCCAGCAGACUACAGCGGUUGACAUGUUGCUCAGCUGUGCUACACCUCCAGUUCUACUGAUUUCCUCUUCCAACUGUGACAACAAGGCUGGUGAUCCUUAUGGCUUGUCCCACUCUGGAAGCACCUCUAUGGCAAUGAAGCUGAGUAAAGAUGGAAAAUUCCUCAGCUUCCUGAGCAACUAUGGACUGAAACUGCUAAAAACCAUGCAGAGCUUUCCUGUGCCAGACCCUUCCAUCACAUCAUUUCUCUCACGGAGCCAGCCAACUAGGGAUUGUAACUGCUACCAAAAGGUGGGCAGCUUCCUCCACAACACACUCCUGCUGAGAUCUGUCCUGGCACCAGUCUGAAAGCAACAGGACUAACCAACCAUGGUCUGAAGCUGCUGAAACUGUCUCAUUUAAAGACAGGAAGAAAAUUAUUCGUAUAAAAGUAUGUGAGAUAUCAACAAUUAACUGUGCUAUGAAUAUUAAUGGUGGUGAACCAAGAAAGCUCUUGUGGAGAAGUUGACCGCCUAGCAACACCCAAGGGAAGUGGGGAUCCAGUCAUGUGACUACUGAGGGAGAAGAAUACUCCAGAUGCUGAAAGAAGAAAGGCAAAGUACAGGAAGUCUGUCUGGGCAUCUAUGAGCACCAAGGAAGCCAAAGAGCCUAAGACAGAGUGAGGAAAGAGGAGACUAAUAGAAGAUAAGGGGACAAGACAGAUGGACACUGCAUUUCACCUGGGAGCGGAGCCAAUGCUAGCUGUGCUUGCUGCCCUGGAGAAGUUUAUAGAAAUGAGGUGGAAUGCAUGAAUUUCCAAGGGAGAAUGAAGCCCUAAGUCCCACUUCCAAGUUUGAUUCGCUCAGGCUAUUGGGUGUUUUGUUUUGGUACCAGGGACCUUGCGCUUGUGAGGCAGGCGGCGCAAUCACUGAGCUAAAUCCCCGGCCCUCAGGCUAUUGGUUUUAAAUGUACC
Molecule: long non-coding RNA, 1368 nt
Filed under: Heterocephalus glaber (naked mole-rat)
Lineage: Eukaryota; Metazoa; Chordata; Mammalia; Rodentia; Bathyergidae
Description: lncRNA (ENSHGLG00100040985.1)
Source: RNAcentral